This 224-nucleotide ribosomal RNA is filed under the name uncultured bacterium. RNAcentral's name for it is "partial 16S ribosomal RNA". It matches the Rfam family "Bacterial small subunit ribosomal RNA", at positions 15 to 230 of the family's 1533-position model. The record is from RNAcentral.
GAUCAUGGCUCAGGAUGAACGCUAGCUACAGGCUUAACACAUGCAAGUCGAGGGGCAGCAUGAAGUCAGCUUGCUGACUUUGAUGGCGACCGGCGCACGGGUGAGUAACGCGUAUCCAACCUGCCCCAUACUCGGGAACAGCCCUCCGAAAGGAGGAUUAAUGCCCGAUGUGGUCCAUAGAGGGCAUCUGAUGUGGACUAAAGAUUCAUCGGUAUGGGAUGGGG